Molecule: small nuclear RNA, 151 nt
Filed under: Apteryx owenii (little spotted kiwi)
Lineage: Eukaryota; Metazoa; Chordata; Aves; Apterygiformes; Apterygidae
Description: U4 spliceosomal RNA (ENSAOWG00000008471.1)
Rfam family: U4 spliceosomal RNA
About the family: U4 small nuclear RNA (U4 snRNA) is a component of the major U2-dependent spliceosome. The structure of U4 snRNA from yeast and human has been reported. U4 snRNA presents a k-turn RNA motif in the 5p-SL related to recognition of Snu13 protein.
Source: RNAcentral
GAGUGUGCACAGUUGCAGUUUUGUAGCUGAUAAGGUGAACCUUGAGGUGCAAUUUUUGCUAAUUGAAAACUAUUCCCAAUACCCUGCUGUGGCAGCUUGCAAUAUAGCUGCCACCAGCAAUUUUUGAGGGCCUAUUUAAUUUUUAACUGGC